Pseudophryne corroboree (corroboree frog) is the source of this 80-nucleotide small nucleolar RNA. RefSeq annotates it as small nucleolar RNA SNORD79. The record is from RefSeq and is a predicted model, not a curated record. Lineage: Eukaryota; Metazoa; Chordata; Amphibia; Anura; Myobatrachidae. The transcript has a single exon.
AACUAUACAUGAUGAUUUGUAUUAAUCAAUGGGAAUCUCUCUGAAUAAGGAUGAGGGAGCACUCUUACACUGACACAGUA